This 631-nucleotide ribosomal RNA is filed under the name uncultured bacterium. Its description in RNAcentral is "bacterial SSU rRNA". It matches the Rfam family "Bacterial small subunit ribosomal RNA", at positions 10 to 634 of the family's 1533-position model. The record is from RNAcentral.
AGUUUGAUCCUGGCUCAGAUUGAACGCUGGCGGAAUGCUUUACACAUGCAAGUCGAACGGCAGCACGGGAGCUUGCUCCUGGUGGCGAGUGGCGAACGGGUGAGUAAUGCGUCGGAACGUACCGAGUAAUGGGGGAUAACGCAGCGAAAGCUGUGCUAAUACCGCAUACGCCCUGAGGGGGAAAGCGGGGGAUCGCAAGACCUCGCGUUAUUCGAGCGGCCGACGUCUGAUUAGCUAGUUGGUGGGGUAAUGGCCCACCAAGGCGACGAUCAGUAGCGGGUCUGAGAGGAUGAUCCGCCACACUGGAACUGAGACACGGUCCAGACUCCUACGGGAGGCAGCAGUGGGGAAUUUUGGACAAUGGGGGCAACCCUGAUCCAGCCAUUCCGCGUGAGUGAAGAAGGCCUUCGGGUUGUAAAGCUCUUUCAGCCGGAAAGAAACGGUGCGCACUAACAUUGCGUGCUAAUGACGGUACCGGCAGAAGAAGCACCGGCUAACUACGUGCCAGCAGCCGCGGUAAUACGUAGGGUGCGAGCGUUAAUCGGAAUUACUGGGCGUAAAGCGUGCGCAGGCGGAUUGUUAAGCAAGAUGUGAAAUCCCCGGGCUUAACCUGGGAAUGGCAUUUUGAACU